UAAAAUUAUGGGACGAUAAGACCCUAUAAAAUUUUAUAUUAUAUUUAUAUAUCAAAUUAUUUUUUUUUAA
RNAcentral lists this transfer RNA (70 nucleotides) under Nomada ruficornis. Its description in RNAcentral is "tRNA-Lys". Lineage: Eukaryota; Metazoa; Arthropoda; Insecta; Hymenoptera; Apidae. The record is from RNAcentral.